GGGCAGCCGAGAGGAGUCUCCCGGUGCCGCGGCGGCGGCGUCAGAGCCACUGCGAGCGACGAGCGCGCCGGACGCGGUGGGGCCGCAUCUCCUCGGCCGCCACUGCCGCUGCGGGGCCACGAACAAAGAGGAGGAGCCGCGGCGCGAGAGCAAAGUCUGAAAUGGAUGUUACAUGAAUCACUUUAAGGGAUGCACACAACUAUGAACAUUUCUGAAGCUUUUUCUGCAGUAAACUAGAGAAAGAUGGAUGAAUCUGCCUUGUUGGAUCUUCUGGAGUGUCCUGUGUGUCUAGAGCGGCUUGAUGCUUCUGCAAAGGUCUUGCCUUGCCAGCAUACCUUUUGCAAACGAUGUUUGCUGGGGAUUGUAGGUUCCCGAAAUGAACUCAGAUGUCCUGAGUGCAGGACUCUCGUUGGCUCGGGUGUUGAGGAGCUUCCAAGUAACAUCUUGCUAGUCAGACUCCUGGAUGGCAUCAAGCAGAGGCCUUGGAAACCUGGCCCUGGUGGGGGCAGUGGGACGAACUGCACAAAUGCAUUAAGGGCUCAGAGCAGCACGGUGGCUAAUUGUAGCUCAAAAGAUCUGCAGAGCUCCCAGGGUGGACAGCAGCCACGGGUGCAAGCCUGGAGCCCCCCAGUGAGGUUGAGCACAAAUGAAGAGCUUAAGUAUGCAAGGGGUAUACCUCAGUUACCAUGUGCCAAAGCAUUAUACAACUACGAAGGGAAAGAGCCUGGAGACCUUAAGUUCAGCAAAGGUGACAUCAUCAUCUUGCGACGACAAGUGGAUGAAAAUUGGUACCAUGGAGAAGUCAACGGGAUCCAUGGCUUUUUCCCCACCAACUUUGUGCAGAUUAUCAAACCAUUACCUCAGCCCCCACCUCAGUGCAAAGCACUUUAUGACUUUGAAGUGAAAGACAAGGAAGCAGACAAAGAUUGCCUUCCGUUUGCAAAGGAUGAUGUUCUGACUGUGAUCCGUAGAGUGGAUGAAAACUGGGCUGAAGGAAUGUUAGCAGACAAAAUAGGAAUAUUUCCAAUUUCAUAUGUUGAGUUCAACUCAGCUGCCAAGCAGCUGAUAGAAUGGGAUAAGCCUCCUGUGCCAGGAGUUGAUGCUGGGGAAUGUACCUCGGCGGCAGCCCAGAGCAGCACUGCCCCAAAGCACUCCGACACCAAGAAGAACACCAAAAAGCGGCACUCCUUCACUUCCCUCACCAUGGCCAGCAAAUCCUCCCAGGCGUCCCAGAACCGCCACUCCAUGGAGAUCAGCCCGCCUGUCCUCAUCAGCUCCAGCAACCCCACAGCUGCCGCUCGCAUCAGUGAGCUGUCCGGGCUGUCCUGCAGUGCCCCUUCUCAGGUUCACAUAAGUACCACUGGGUUAAUUGUGACCCCACCCCCAAGCAGCCCAGUGACCACUGGCCCUUCCUUCACUUUCCCGUCAGAUGUUCCCUACCCGGCUGCCCUUGGAACUAUGAAUCCUCCUCUUCCCCCGCCCCCUCUCCUGGCCUCCACACCUCCGGGCGCUGCUGCUGUUGCUGCUGCUGCUGCUGCUGCUGGGAUGGGACCGAGGCCCAGCGCAGGACCCACAGAGCAGAUUGCACAUUUACGGCCUCAGACUCGCCCCAGUGUGUAUGUUGCUAUAUAUCCAUACACUCCCCGGAAAGAGGAUGAGCUGGAGCUGAGAAAAGGGGAGAUGUUUUUAGUGUUUGAGCGUUGCCAAGAUGGCUGGUUCAAAGGGACUUCGAUGCACACCAGCAAGAUCGGGGUUUUCCCUGGCAAUUACGUGGCACCAGUCACGAGGGCGGUGACAAAUGCUUCCCAAGCUAAAGUCCCUAUGUCUACUGCUGGUCAGACAAGUCGAGGGGUGACCAUGGUCAGUCCUUCCACCGCAGGAGGGCCUGCCCAGAAGCUCCAGGGCAAUGGUAUGGCUGCGAGUCCCAGUGUUGUCCCCACAGCAGUGGUGUCAGCAGCUCAUAUCCAGACCAGCCCUCAGGCUAAGGUCUUGUUGCACAUGACUGGGCAAAUGACAGUCAACCAGGCCCGCAAUGCUGUGAGGACAGUUGCAGCACACAACCAAGAACGCCCUACAGCAGCGGUGACACCCAUCCAGGUACAGAAUGCCGCCUGCCUGGGCCCUGCGUCUGUGGGCCUGCCCCACCAUUCCUUGGCCUCCCCACAACCUCCGCCUUCAAUGGCAGGCCCUGCCACCCACGUUGCUGCCGUCAAUAUGGGUCGAGUCAAUGUCCCCCUGGCCUGUGCUGCAGCUGCUUCGCUGACCUCCCCGAACAUCACCGCUGCCUCUCUGGAGACUGAGCCCAGUGGCCGAACAGUGACCAUUCUCCCCGGACUUCCCACCUCUCCUGACAGUGCUUCAUCAGCUUGUGGGAACAGUUCAGCAACCAAGCCAGACAAGGACAGUAAAAAAGAAAAAAAGGGUUUGUUGAAGUUGCUUUCUGGCGCCUCCACUAAACGUAAGCCCCGAGUGUCCCCUCCAGCCUCACCUACCCUGGAAGUGGAGCUGGGUGGCGGCGAGUUGCCUCUGCAGGGAGCGGUGGGUCCUGAGCUGCCACUAGGGGGCGCCCACGGCAGGGCAGGCUCCUGCCCCGCGGAUGGGGAUGGCCCGCCCACAGCGGGGGCUGCAGGCGCGGCUCUGGCCCAGGAUGCUCUUCACCGCAAGGCCAGCUCCCUGGACUCGGCUGUUCCCAUCGCUCCACCUCCUCGUCAGCCGUGCUCCUCCCUGGGCGCUGUCGUGAAUGAGUCUAGGCCUGUUGUUUGUGAAAGGCACAGGGUUGUGGUUUCCUAUCCUCCUCAGAGUGAGGCAGAACUUGAACUUAAAGAAGGAGAUAUUGUGUUUGUUCAUAAAAAAAGAGAGGAUGGAUGGUUCAAAGGCACGUUACAGCGUAAUGGGAAAACUGGCCUUUUCCCAGGAAGCUUUGUGGAAAACAUCUGAGGAGACGAACAUGGAGAACGCUUAAAGUCACAUCACACAACAAAAUAGCACAAAGUAAUUUAAUGGAAAGAGCACAUUUGUGGACGUCCAGAUGGACAGGUGAUGAGCAAAGGAUUGGCGUGUGACCCCAGUGCCCCCCAGCACAGUUAGACCAGCGAGGAGUGUGAAGAAGACGUGUGUGUGGGUGUUAUCGCUCUGGAUUCUGAUGUGUAAGCCUGCAAUGUAGACGUGAUGGCUGGUACUCCAGCAAUGAUCUUGAGCCAUAAAGUGAACUUUAAGAUGGAAGCCACAUUUUAAAUAUGGUGGAGGAGAAAGAAAGAAGGAGCUUGAGACCCUGAUAAACUUGCAGCCUUCAUGCCAACCUGAACUACUGAUCUGCAGAUAGGAUUUAGGCUCCAAUCAUGACAAUGAUGAGAUGCCAGGCCAUUUUCCCUGCUAUACUGGACAAAAAUUUGGCCACAGGGAAGAAGAGAACUCAUGUAUUCUUACAAGUCAUCCAUGAAGAAAACUACAGGGAAAGAGUGGUAAAUGUGAGCCACUAGAAGAAUGGAGAUGUGUUGGUGAUUUUCCAUGUUUCCUCCACUGGAAAGAGAAAUCAGUGGACUUGACCUGCAAAACCCCAGACUAGAGGAGGAAUUGCGACUCCAGUGGUCCCAAGAGGCUAAAAAGGAGGGAUACAGUCACCAUGACUUUUAAAAUCUCUGAUUACUCAUCUCUCAGAGUAAAAUUUGGGACUCAAAUGCUUUCAUGAAAAUGAAACAGACUUUAGGAGGUCUGCUUUCGGGGGUGCUCCAAGAGCUGAAUAUUACAUUUUAUUUGUUCCAGAAAGUUCUGGCAACUUGGUACAGCAAAUUCGAUUGGCACCAUACGCCCGACCUGUCUCAGUAAUGGUGUCGUGUGUGUGAUGAGGACUGCAAAGCAGCAUGUGUUCGUGGAGGAAAUGACAGGCACAGGAAGGAAAAGCUGAGAACACAGAGACUGUUCCUAAUUGUGCAGUGAGAAAAAGGAGGCUACUGCCUGGCAGGGUGGCAUGUUGGCUGAAAGAGGGGGGUGAUCAGCAGGGCUGGCAGGAAGAGGGUAGACUUGUGUGAGCUGACAGAAGAGGCAGCAAUCUGGAGGAGUCUCAGCUUGCAAAGCCCUGAGAGAAAGGGAUUUCAUUUCUGCCCAUGUGGGAGCUGGUGGGAGGCCCAAAGGAAGCUUUCGUGGGAACUAUAGAAAGAGCUGUGGGCUCCAGAGGGGAUGAGCUGUGAACUAGAUGCUGUUUUCAAAGGCUUGAAAGUCAGAGGCAAGUUUGCUUCAGUUUGUUGAAAGAUACUUUAUUGGGAGGAUUUCCACUUAGGUUCUGGCCUGAAAGAAAUAUCUACUCUUCUUCCUCUAUCAAGAUUCCUUCUCCUUGCAGAAGUCUAAAGCUCACAGGUGGUCCUCAGGGACACAUUUCUUUCAAGUGGGAUUACUGGUGUAUUUGGUCUGAAAAGCUGAUUUACUGCAACAUUGCUGUCACCACAUUGGGCCUACCAUGUGGUUGGUGUGGCUGAUGUUUAUCAGACGGUGGUGUUUCCAACGUAGGCCUGAAUGAAAGAUGAAGCUGAGGUCAGAGAUGUUUGUCAGCUUUGAGAAAUGCUGAAUUUUCCAAAGCAUAAGCCUUAGACAGACUAUUGUGAGCCUGCAUAAAGGGGCUUUCGUUGACUUGUCCAAAGGAAGGGAACACAAAGUUGGAAACCUGUGGAGGGCUUGGAGGAGUUGUCACUGGGGAGCUCUUUUCCCACCUUCCCCAGGUGAUGCAGGCCGACACAUAGCCCUGGGAGGAGAAUAGUGGUCCCUAAGACUCACAGCAUGGUUUGAUGUGUUUUCUCAGAAAGGCACCAUGGCAGUUAAGUGACAUGGUGACCCUCUCCCUGGAACCAAGCCUGAGCUUAGGGGCACAAUGUGGGGGUGGAUGUAAAGGAAGUUCCUCUGUUACUGUGCUUGGAUUAUAAGUAAUUGUCAACAUGGGAGCAUGCUGAUUUCUAACCAUCAGUGGUGGAUCUGUGACUUCCCAAGCUGGCGGCUGACCUCAAGAGGACUGUUAUAGACAUUGUGGGACCCACAGCAUGAGAAAAGAAUUACUACCUCCCUUUCUAUCCCAUGACCUCUAACAGUCUGGUCACCACCAUGGCCUUUUGUUCUUGGAGGGGACAGGAACUUUGGAGAGUGGGGUCACUCCAUUGCUUCUGUGGGUCAUCUUCCCAGACUAGCCUAAGCCUCAGAAUCUCAGUCUUCAGCUCUGUUUUGCAGAUCUGUUUUUAGAAGUUUUUUUUAAAAAAUUAUGAACUACUGUGUUUCAAGCAUAUAGAAAAGUGCAGAAAAUAAUAUAAUAGAUAACCAAGUAUCUACCAUCCAGAUUUAACAAAUACAAACAUUUUGCCUCAUCUGUAUCAGAUAUUUUUAAAAAUUGGAGAUGGAUUUCAAACCUCUGCAUAUCUAUUUUUAGUAGAUGGAAAAGCAUAAACAAGUUUAAUUCUACUAAGCUGCUGGCUAUACAUAGCAGCUUCCUCUUCAAAUAAUGGAAACUUUGUGGAUUCACGCACAGCACUGAAGUCCUAGCAAUCUGCUUCAACCAGAAAGAUCGUCAAUAAAGCGUUUGUCUCAA
Non-coding RNA from Equus caballus (horse), 5566 nucleotides. The record is from RefSeq and is a predicted model, not a curated record. Lineage: Eukaryota; Metazoa; Chordata; Mammalia; Perissodactyla; Equidae.